UCACACAAGAGACCCAAAUUAACUGUUAUGCGGCGUAAAGAGUGGUGCUAUGAUAUCAUAACAACUAGGAUUGAAAUGCAACUAGGCUGUCAUAAGCUCAAGAUGUACUUAAGGCCCUCCUUAAGAUGAUCCUAGCACUCCUGAUUGAUUUAACCCCACGAAAGCUAGGGCACAAACUGGGAUUAGAUACCCCAUUAUGCCUAGCCCUAAAUCUUGAUGCUUGCCAUACCAAAGCAUCCGCCUGAGAACUACGAGCACAAACGCUUAAAACUCUAAGGACUUGGCGGUGCCCCAAACCCACCUAGAGGAGCCUGUUCUAUAAUCGAUAACCCACGAUCCACCCGACCACCCCUUGCCAGAGCAGCCUACAUACCGCCGUCGCCAGUUCACCUUCCCUGAGAGCCCCGCAGUGAACACAAUAGCCUAGCCCCGCUAACAAGACAGGUCAAGGUAUAGCCUAUGGGGUGGAAGAAAUGGGCUACAUUUUCUAUAAUAGAAUA
Molecule: ribosomal RNA, 500 nt
Filed under: Aethia pygmaea
Lineage: Eukaryota; Metazoa; Chordata; Aves; Charadriiformes; Alcidae
Description: partial small subunit ribosomal RNA
Rfam family: Bacterial small subunit ribosomal RNA
Source: RNAcentral